AGGAUCAUUGUCGAAACCUUCACGGGUUCGUUUGAUCAUCACGAGAAACCAACCGUCCGGUAUGUUUACGACUUUGUCGUGAACGUUGGUAGUAUCACCCCCGUUGGAGCUCUCUGUGAGGUGUCUACCGUACGCGAUGAGUCGUUCUUGAGUGGCGGCAGUGAUUCGUCGUACAAAGUUCCCAUCUUGCAUGGUCGAGCUUACUAGACUUGAUGAGCGUUGCUGGAACGCCGCCUCAAUGUUUUACGUUGGUGAUUGUGCACAAUGCGACCACCGUGCGGAACCUGGCUGUCAGGAAGUCUUAAUGAUCCGGGUCACCCGGACGCCAACGUAGAACUCACAAUCUUUCUAUUUUGAAUGUUGGCAGAAUCGUGAUCGAUGAUCACUCUAUGAACUAGCUUCAGCGAUGGAUCGGUUGAUUCGCGUAUCGAUGAAAAACGCAGCUAGCUGCGUUAUUUACCACGAAUUGCAGACGCUUAGAGUGGUGAAAUUUUGAACGCAUAGCGCCGUUGGGUUUCCCCUUCGGCACGUCUGGUUCAGGGUUGUGAACGAUAUAAUACAGCAUGGAUUGUUUUGCUGUGUGUCGAGUGGYACUUGCUGUGUUACAGCGAAUCCCAUUCAAGUGAAGAAAGUUUGCAACAUGGCUCUGUAUUAGUGUCAAAGCUCCUGAAUGAUGUGAACGCGAUUGUUACCGUGUCGAAUCGUACUCGGUGAGAUUGAGAUGGAUUUGAUCGGGGACCUGCUGUGAACAAUCGAUUGUUCUGACAUCAUUUGCAUUGCAACCUGAGCUCAGGCGUGACUACCCGCUGAACUUAAGCAUAUCACUU
This 827-nucleotide ribosomal RNA is filed under the name Nematodirus spathiger. RNAcentral's name for it is "eukaryotic LSU rRNA". The stretch from base 396 to 545 matches the Rfam family "5.8S ribosomal RNA". The record is from RNAcentral. Lineage: Eukaryota; Metazoa; Nematoda; Chromadorea; Rhabditida; Molineidae.